AUUGAACGCUGGCGGCAUGCUUUACACAUGCAAGUCGAACGGCAGCGGGUCCUUCGGGAUGCCGGCGAGUGGCGAACGGGUGAGUAAUGCAUCGGAACGUACCGUGUAAUGGGGGAUAACGUAGCGAAAGUUAACGCUAAUACCGCAUACGCCCUGAGGGGGAAAGCGGGGAGUCGCAAGACCUCGCGUUAUACGAGCGACCGAUGUCGGAUUAGCUAGUUGGUGGGGUAAAGGCCCACCAAGGCGACGAUCCGUAGCGGGUCGUGAGAGGAUGAUCCGCCACACUGGGACUGAGACGCGGCCCAGACUCCUACGGGAGGCAGCAGUGGGGAAUUUUGGACAAUGGGCGCAAGCCUGAUCCAGCAAUGCCGCGUGUGUGAAGAAGGCCUGCGGGUUGUAAAGCACUUUCAGG
This 412-nucleotide ribosomal RNA is filed under the name uncultured bacterium. RNAcentral's name for it is "bacterial SSU rRNA". It matches the Rfam family "Bacterial small subunit ribosomal RNA", at positions 29 to 440 of the family's 1533-position model. The record is from RNAcentral.